This 440-nucleotide ribosomal RNA is filed under the name uncultured bacterium. Its description in RNAcentral is "partial 16S ribosomal RNA". It matches the Rfam family "Bacterial small subunit ribosomal RNA", at positions 338 to 795 of the family's 1533-position model. The record is from RNAcentral.
CCUACGGGAGGCUGCAGUGGAGAAUCUUUCACAAUGGGGGAAACCCUGAUGCUGCGACGCCGCGUGAGCGAUGGAGUGUUUCCGUAUGUAAAGCUCUAUCCGCAGGGAAGAAGAUGACAGUGACUGACUCAGAAGACGCAGCUAACUACGUGCCAGCAGCCGCAGUAAUACGGAGGGGGCAAGCGUUAGCCGUAUUUACUGGGUGUAAAGGUAGCGUAGACGGCGAUGCAAGCCAGAUGUGAAAGCCCGGGGCUCAACCCCCGGACGGCAUUUGGAACUGCGUGGCUGGAGUGUCGGAGAGGGAGGCGGAAUUCUUAGUGUAGCGGUGAAAUGCGUAGAUAUUGGGAGGAACACCAGUGGCGAAGGCGGGUUGCUGGACGUUGACUGACGUUGAGGCACGAAGGCGUGGGGAGCAAACGGGAUUAGAUACCCGAGUAGUC